AUUGAACGCUGGCGGCAGGCCUAACACAUGCAAGUCGAGCGGAUGAAGGGAGCUUGCUCCUGGAUUCAGCGGCGGACGGGUGAGUAAUGCCUAGGAAUCUGCCUGGUAGUGGGGGAUAACGUCCGGAAACGGGCGCUAAUACCGCAUACGUCCUGAGGGAGAAAGUGGGGGAUCUUCGGACCUCACGCUGUCAGAUGAGCCUAGGUCGGAUUAGCUAGUUGGUGGGGUAAAGGCCUACCAAGGCGACGAUCCGUAACUGGUCUGAGAGGAUGAUCAGUCACACUGGAACUGAGACACGGUCCAGACUCCUACGGGAGGCAGCAGUGGGGAAUAUUGGGCAAUGGGCGAAAGCCUGAUCCAGCCAUGCCGCGUGUGUGAAGAAGGUCUUCGGAUUGUAAAGCACUUUAAGUUGGGAGGAAGGGCAGUAAGUUAAUACCUUGCUGUUUUGACGUUACCAACAGAAUAAGCACCGGCUAACUUCGCG
Molecule: ribosomal RNA, 484 nt
Filed under: uncultured bacterium
Lineage: Bacteria
Description: partial 16S ribosomal RNA
Rfam family: Bacterial small subunit ribosomal RNA
Source: RNAcentral